RNAcentral lists this ribosomal RNA (434 nucleotides) under uncultured bacterium. RNAcentral describes it as "bacterial SSU rRNA". It matches the Rfam family "Bacterial small subunit ribosomal RNA", at positions 27 to 507 of the family's 1533-position model. The record is from RNAcentral.
GAACGAACGCUGGCGGCAUGCCUAACACAUGCAAGUCGAACGAAGGCUUCGGCCUUAGUGGCGCACGGGUGCGUAACGCGUGGGAAUCUGCCCCUCGGUUCGGAAUAACUCAGAGAAAUUUGAGCUAAUACCGGAUAAUGACUUCGGUCCAAAGAUUUAUCGCCGAGGGAUGAGCCCGCGUAGGAUUAGCUAGUUGGUGGGGUAAAGGCCUACCAAGGCGACGAUCCUUAGCUGGUCUGAGAGGAUGAUCAGCCACACUGGGACUGAGACACGGCCCAGACUCCUACGGGAGGCAGCAGUGGGGAAUAUUGGACAAUGGGCGAAAGCCUGAUCCAGCAAUGCCGCGUGAGUGAUGAAGGCCUUAGGGUUGUAAAGCUCUUUUACCCGGGAUGAUAAUGACAGUACCGGGAGAAUAAGCUCCGGCUAACUCCGUG